UCUAUCAAAGGAGAACAGUUACUCCACUGGUCUUAGGCGCCAAGGCUCUUGGUGCAAAUCCAAGUGAUAGAAGA
Molecule: transfer RNA, 74 nt
Filed under: Protobothrops cornutus
Lineage: Eukaryota; Metazoa; Chordata; Lepidosauria; Squamata; Viperidae
Description: tRNA-Leu
Source: RNAcentral